Vespa mandarinia (Asian giant hornet) is the source of this 1291-nucleotide long non-coding RNA. Lineage: Eukaryota; Metazoa; Arthropoda; Insecta; Hymenoptera; Vespidae. The record is from RefSeq and is a predicted model, not a curated record.
CGAUAGAAGACGCGAUCCGACUAGCUGGCGGGCAACGCGUAAUACGUAGACACUGUGUAUACAUAAGGCAGUACGUGGCUAGCGGCAUUAAGCUGUCCGCUUAAAGAAGCUCUAUGGCGAUGCUUAACAGUGCAUAAGUCCGACAAUGAAUUGGCAAGACAGACAUUUCCAAGGCACAUAAGUCAGUCGAGCGUUAGAGCGAGCCUACUCAACCAAUAUAUACGCUAACCAUUUGUCAUGCUUGCUUACUGCUUUGCUGGUGCACCGACUUGUGACUUCAUAAACUUACGAGAGAACACCUGCAGCGCGAAGAUGUCCGCAUACUACGACUCAGUCUAGUGUCAACGAGCCUCUUAGCCAAACAAUCUAAAGAACGAAAGAAACGUUUCGUCCUUAUCGUUCAUGUCGAUGCCCAAACAAACAUACCGUCGACGUUUUCUUGUUUAUUAUUGUAUUGCGUACACGUAAAAACAUGUAGACACGUGUUUCUUAUUAUUUUUUUUUUUAGUUUUAUUAUUUCUUUUUGUUUUUUUUUUUUUCUAACACCAAUAUCGAGCAUUAUGAAAUUUUUCUUACGAAAGAUGGAUCGUGAAAAGGCGAAAAGAGAAAAGAAAAAGAAAAGAAAGGAGAGAGUAAAACAUGGAUACUUACGUGCUCGCUUACUUUGUAUUUUCAUUUGAUCUCUAUGUAUUCUAAAUGUAUAUAUAUAUAUAUAUAUAUAUAUAUAUAUAUAUACCUAUGUAUGGUUCAUAUAUAUUUCACUUCCGGUCAGAAGUUAUCCUUGUAAUUCGCUCAUUAGACGAAGUUAUGCCGGGAGUAAUUAGCGCUCGGCUAAUCGACUACAUUCUCCAAUAUCGUGCUUGGUGCAUAGUAAACAGGCUUAGUGUGGUCGGAGUGCGAGAAUCUAUACGAUAUAUCGCGACGGUAGGUAGGAUAUCAUCGGGUUCGUAGCUAGUGACGCCCAUUGAACUAGAUUUUCGUUUGAGGUGAACGGUGAAAAGUAAAAAGUAAAAUUCCACUUUCGUUGCCGUUACUACAACGUUAAUUAACGUGUAGAUAAAAAAAGAAAAAAAAAAAAAAGAAAAAAGAGGGAAUACAAAAAAUGAUAGGGCCUUCUCGAUGAAAGUUUUUCUUUUAUUUCUUUUUUUUUUUUUUUUUUUUUUUUUUUUUGAGAAAUCGAAAGAGUUCUGUAGGUAUAGGUAAUAAAGAGAAAUGAUCGAUGAUCAAAGACAUUUAUGAUCAAUUAGACGAGGCGUAUAAAGUAAAAUGUUAAUAGUAUGUACAUAUUUUU